RNAcentral lists this ribosomal RNA (452 nucleotides) under uncultured bacterium. Its description in RNAcentral is "bacterial SSU rRNA". It matches the Rfam family "Bacterial small subunit ribosomal RNA", at positions 29 to 523 of the family's 1533-position model. The record is from RNAcentral.
AACGAACGCUGGCGGCAGGCUUAACACAUGCAAGUCGAACGCGUGUAGCAAUACACGAGUGGCGCACGGGUGAGUAACGCGUGGAUAUCUGCCUUUUGGUUCGGAAUAACCCCGGGAACUGGGGCUAAUACCGGAUGGUUCCUUCGGGAUAAAGAUUUAUCGCCAAAAGAUGAGUCCGCGUCCGAUUAGCUAGUUGGUGAGGUAAUGGCUCACCAAGGCGACGAUCGGUAGCUGGUCGAGAGGACGAUCAGCCACACUGGGACUGAGACACGGCCCAGACUCCUACGGGAGGCAGCAGUGGGGAAUAUUGGACAAUGGGGGCAACCCUGAUCCAGCCAUGCCGCGUGAGUGAUGAAGGCCUUCGGCGUGUAAAGCUCUUUUGGUCGGGGACGGAUGAUGACGGUACCCGCAGAAUAAGACCCCGGCUAACUUCGUGCCAGCAGCCGCUGUAA